CGGUGGGUGAUGUCAUAAUAUGCGACAGCGCGUGUUCCCGGAGCUGUAGCUGGAGUUGGAGCUGGCGGGAAUCCCGGGUUUGAUUUUGAGGAAUUAUGACAGACCAAAGAGGAGAUAAAGAGAUUCAGCUCCAUCUCCAGACAGACACAGCUGAGAAGAAAGUGAUCUCUGAGGGCAGUUUUUUGAUGGAAAGCAAUAAUAAUUUGGCUGCCAAACAAUAUGUGCUGCCAGCAGCAGAAUUGUGCACUCAAGUGUGUAAAAGUGAAUCCCUGAUGGCUGUCUCUGAAGUUGGUGUGAUAAAGCAGACAGAUUCUAAAGCUCAGCAUGAACUGGGUGUUCCAUCUCCACAGUGCACUGCGAGUGGAGUUAAUGGUAAUGUAGUGCCUUGUGUAACUCUGACAACAUCUAUUGCGCAAGGAAAUUUGGAUGCAGUUAAAUCAAGUGAAGUUGACACCUCUGAGAAGUGUGAUAUUACAUUAGUCAGUCCUGCCCCAGUCACUGGUGAUCAAGAGAUGGAGGUUUCAGUGUCUGCUCAGCUGGAGACUUUAUCUUUUAAAAGAUCACAAUUGAUAUGCCAGGACCCAGAGUAUACACAAGGCAAGCAGUUAGGCCAGAGUAGUAAAUUCCCGUGGGUUGAUGUUACGUUACAAGAUGUUGCAGCUGAUGAAGAAGACAGUGAAGACGAUGCAAGCUCAUCAUCUGAAGACACUUCAUCAGACAGUGAUUCAGAUUCCACAUCGUCGUCAUCUUCUGCACCAUCGGUGGUUGUAAUGUCAGAUGGUGAUGAUGACGAUCAGGAACCAGGAGAAAAGAGAAAACCCCAACCAGUAAAAACAAAAGAUGAACUCUUGUUGGAGGAUCUGCCAAAAGUUGAAGAAGUAAAUAUUGUUCUUCCUGACGAGGUAGCAAAGGAGCCAAUUGGGUUUGUCUCCAGUAUUAUUGACCAACUGGUUAUUGUUGAAUCACUGAAGGAGAUGCCACCAGUGAAUGAGGAAACUAUCCUGUUCAAAAUGGACAACACGUCAGUUGGGAAGGUAUUUGAAGUGUUUGGACCAGUUUCUCAUCCAUUCUAUGUUCUCCGUUUCAAUUCUGUUGAAGACAUUGCUGUAAAGGAAAUCAAGCUACAAGAGCUGUUCUAUAUUGCCCCUGCAGUAAAGGAUUUCACUCAGUACAUCUUUACAGAGAAACUCAAGCAAGAUAAAGGUUCAGAUGCAUCAUGGAGAAAUGACCAGGAACCACCAACUGAGGCUCUGGAUUUUAGUGAUGAUGAAAAAGAAAGGGAGGCGAAACAAAAGAAGAAGAAGAAGCAACGAAAUCAUGGAGAUAAAAACACUCAACCUGGUGGAAAAGAAGAUGGACAAGCACAACAACAAAAACAAGUUCAUUCAACGUAUGGGAGAGGAUUUCAACACAAUCCUGGUCAAAGAUUUAGUCAUUAUUCUUCAGCCAGGUUUGAAAACCCAACAGGUUGUGGAUUUGCUCCGCCAUCGGGAAGCUUUGGUCCACCAUUUAACCAGAGGCCACCAUUUAGACCUCCAGGAUUUCAUCCUGACAAUAUGAUGCAUUCACAACCAGUGGUGUCAAAUCCAAUGAUGUCACGUUCUUAUUCUCCUUCAUUUUGGCCUCCAAUGCCAAAUGAUGUGCAUGGUUUCUUAACUCCCCCACCCCCUCCUCCACCUCGCCCUCCUUUCCCGCUUCCCCCAAUGAACACAGGCUGGUCAGAAUCUAACAUGAGGCAUCCUACUUGCUUUCCAAAUUCUCCUUUUUCUUGUUUUCCCAAUGCUCCCCCUCCUCACAUGCCAAAUUCUCAGCUCCCACCACAGUUACCUCCACAAGGCUCACAAGAUUUUCUCUAUAGACCCCAAUAUUAGGAAUGCUCAUGUACUGCAAGCUUUCUGAAGUACAUAAAUUACAUGAGAACAAUCAAGUAGCGUUCUCAAUGCGGUCGCAAACAGAAUUGGGUGCAAAAUCUUCCAAACAUUGAACUGCAUUUGAGAAAAUAAUGCAGCUUAUGGCAUUCGCUUCUUAUUAGUAAGAACAUAUUUGUCGUGAUCUUUAUGAUCUAAUCACCUGUUCACACCAAGUCUCUGCUUAAAAUAGCCGUUGGCAGCAAACAAAACCUUACCUAAACAUGUAAAAUUAAAUUUAAAGUACAGAGCUAAUAACCCUUAUGUUUUAUAAAAAAUUAAAGAACAAGUUCUUCAUGCUUACUAUUCAUGAAUACUUUAUUUGAUGUCUGCUAUUUUUUUUAAAACUUCAGUGGAAAGAGGCACUGAUUUUGGUCAUGUUAUGGGCUGAAUUUGCCUUUUCUUCACUCUUGUGAUAAAUGCAAUCAUGUACAGCAAUAGUUUAUGCGCACCAUUCUGCUUGUUCAGAAAUGGCAUUUUGUGGAUGAAAUAAGCUUUUGGCAGGGUAAAGUGGGUACCAGUGAAUCCGCAGCCUAGUUUGCAUCCCAGCUGAUUUUCUUUUCCACUUAAGCCAAUGAGAAAGGAAUUCGAGCAGGAUGCAAAAUGAUCAGCUAACUGGCUGUCGCUCAUUUUGUGUUGCUGCCAAAGGCCAAUUUCAUCCCUUAUUUCCUGGACAUAAUUGUAAUGCUGUAUUUUGUAAAUACAGAAACUUUGUUUCAUUGGUGUUAAAUUUGUCAUCGCAUAGUUAGACUUUUCAUACAUAAUAGCAAUCUUUUAAUCUUCAGAAAAUUCUGAUACCAGUUCUUUACUCAAAAUGAUAAUGUGCAAUCAGACAAAUCAAACCUUUUUUAAGAAGUUGCAAAGUUGAUCUUUGGUUAAUGUUUGUGUUUGUCUUUUGACAUUUAAUAUAAGUUUAGAGAGAAUUGAAUUAAACAUUAAAUUUACUUCACAA
RNA transcript from Carcharodon carcharias (great white shark), 2859 nucleotides. It is a transcript of the gene named nuclear assembly factor 1 homolog (S. cerevisiae), with no coding region annotated. The record is from RefSeq and is a predicted model, not a curated record. The transcript has 10 exons. NCBI's taxonomy places the organism in Eukaryota, Metazoa, Chordata, Chondrichthyes, Lamniformes, Lamnidae.